GACGAACGCUGGCGGCGUGCUUAACACAUGCAAGUCGAACGCUGAAGACCUGGCUUUUGUUGGGUUGGAUGAGUGGCGAACGGGUGAGUAACACGUGAGUAACCUGCCCUCUUCUUUGGGAUAACGCCCGGAAACGGGUGCUAAUACUGGAUAUUCACUGGCCUUCGCAUGGGGGUUGGUGGAAAGGUUUGUUCUGGUGGGGGAUGGGCUCGCGGCCUAUCAGCUUGUUGGUGGGGUGAUGGCCUACCAAGGCUUUGACGGGUAGCCGGCCUGAGAGGGUGACCGGUCACAUUGGGACUGAGAUACGGCCCAGACGCCUACGGGAGGCAGCAGUGGGGAAUAUUGCACAGUGGGCGAAAGCCUGAUGCAGCGACGCCGCGUGAGGGAUGGAGGCCUUCGGGUUGUAAACCUCUUUCGCUCAUGGUCAAGCCGCAACUGUGGGUUGUGGUGAGGGUAGUGGGUAAAGAAGCGCCGGCUAACUACGUG
Molecule: ribosomal RNA, 486 nt
Filed under: uncultured bacterium
Lineage: Bacteria
Description: partial 16S ribosomal RNA
Rfam family: Bacterial small subunit ribosomal RNA
Source: RNAcentral